Trichonephila clavipes is the source of this 73-nucleotide non-coding RNA. The record is from the annotation of a GenBank genome assembly. NCBI's taxonomy places the organism in Eukaryota, Metazoa, Arthropoda, Arachnida, Araneae, Nephilidae.
UCCCUGUAGUGCAACGGGUAGCACGUUAGAAUUCUAAUUCAAAGGUCGUGGAUUCGAAUUCCGACUGGGAGAA